This 564-nucleotide long non-coding RNA is filed under the name Mus spretus (western wild mouse). RNAcentral's name for it is "RIKEN cDNA 1700061H18 gene (ENSMSPG00010040483.1)". Lineage: Eukaryota; Metazoa; Chordata; Mammalia; Rodentia; Muridae. The record is from RNAcentral.
GAGGGCAGUGUUUGGUGUCAAAUGAGCCCUGAAGAUUCUCUGAGUUCCUCUUCAUACCAACUGGUAGAGAUGUAUCAAUUCUCUUAACCACAUGGCAGGACAUGAGACUGUGGCAUGCCCACCAAGGGCAUACAGGGACUCCAAGGAGAAAUCAGACAAGCUUAGGUACAAAGCAAGUCAUAGAAGAUGUCUAAGGAGAGAAGCAGAAUUGUGAAGGAUACCCUUCCCCAAACUAAAACUGCAAGGAAAACUUUAAACCUGCCAUUCCAUGCCCCUUUCUAGAACCCCAUGACAAUGGCAUGCCUUUACUUCUCGGACUUACGUUUUCCAUCCUCUGUACACGGUUUUCCAGCCCUACGAUUUGCCCAUGUUUUUCCUCCAGUUUUUCUGAAAGUAGAUUCAGACUUUCGGUGCUUCCCUUUAAUGCCUGCUCUUUCUCAAGGUUGUUGACCUGUGGUCAGAAAAACAGUUGCUAGACUUCUGUUUUGACUCUUUAUCUAAAACAAAAACCACAAUGUCUUGUAUAUCCAAUUAAAAAAGUGUUUUCUUUUCUUAUCAGAAAAU